This 484-nucleotide ribosomal RNA is filed under the name uncultured bacterium. RNAcentral's name for it is "partial 16S ribosomal RNA". It matches the Rfam family "Bacterial small subunit ribosomal RNA", at positions 28 to 507 of the family's 1533-position model. The record is from RNAcentral.
AUUGAACGCUGGCGGCAUGCUUUACACAUGCAAGUCGAACGGCAGCGCGGGCUUCGGCCUGGCGGCGAGUGGCGAACGGGUGAGUAAUGCAUCGGAACGUGCCCAGUAGUGGGGGAUAGCCCGGCGAAAGCCGGAUUAAUACCGCAUACGACCUGAGGGUGAAAGCGGGGGACCGAAAGGCCUCGCGCUAUUGGAGCGGCCGAUGUCGGAUUAGCUAGUUGGUGGGGUAAAGGCUUACCAAGGCGACGAUCCGUAGCUGGUCUGAGAGGACGACCAGCCACACUGGGACUGAGACACGGCCCAGACUCCUACGGGAGGCAGCAGUGGGGAAUUUUGGACAAUGGGGGCAACCCUGAUCCAGCCAUGCCGCGUGCGGGAAGAAGGCCUUCGGGUUGUAAACCGCUUUUGUUCGGGAAGAAAUCCUCUGGGCUAAUACCCCGGGGGGAUGACGGUACCCGAAGAAUAAGCACCGGCUAACUACGUG